UCAGGUUCUUACCUAUUAACAAGAUCUUACUUAAAAUUACAGGUCAUGGGCAUCAUCAACCUAGUCCUUGACUUGCAGCUAAAAAAGGCAAAAGGUCUGUGUGAAGUGACAGAAGAGCACACCCUACUCAUGUCAUGAGCAAGGAAUCAAAGUCGAAGAACAGUAACAGUCUUGACAUCAGCACUGUAAGAAUUACUCUGCAGUAAACUCCAACCCAGAAUGGGGAAGAAUACUGAAUUAGCUGAGCACAUUCUGGACACAAUUCUGACCAAUUUCAGUCUCAUGAUCUCUGUUGGAGCAGGUUUCAUUCUCCAAUUCUCUUUUACAGAACAGCAGAACUCGAGCCUUCAUAAAAGUGAUUAACGGCCUUUCCGCUUCUUCAUUUUUCCUCCAGCCACCUUGUUCCUGACACCAAUAGCACCCUCUGUGUCAUCAUUAUCUCCAGCAUCCUCUCGCGAGCGUUUCUUCUUUUCUCCAUGCUCCCUUAACUCCUGCAAGAAAAAAAGAGAGGAUGGGAUUGAAAAUGAAUUACUGGCACUGAAGGUUACUC
This 550-nucleotide long non-coding RNA is filed under the name Homo sapiens (human). Its description in RNAcentral is "non-protein coding lnc-GPRC5D-3:1". Lineage: Eukaryota; Metazoa; Chordata; Mammalia; Primates; Hominidae. The record is from RNAcentral.